This 460-nucleotide ribosomal RNA is filed under the name uncultured bacterium. RNAcentral describes it as "partial 16S ribosomal RNA". It matches the Rfam family "Bacterial small subunit ribosomal RNA", at positions 338 to 795 of the family's 1533-position model. The record is from RNAcentral.
CCUACGGGAGGCAGCAGUGAGGAAUAUUGGUCAAUGGACGAGAGUCUGAACCAGCCAAGUAGCGUGAAGGAUGACUGCCCUAUGGGUUGUAAACUUCUUUUAUAAAGGAAUAAAAUGUUCCACGUGUGGGAUUUUGUAUGUACCAUAUGAAUAAGGAUCGGCUAACUCCGUGCCAGCAGCCGCGGUAAUACGGAGGAUCCGAGCGUUAUCCGGAUUUAUUGGGUUUAAAGGGAGCGUAGGUGGAUUGUUAAGUCAGUUGUGAAAGUUUGCGGCUCAACCGUAAAAUUGCAGUUGAAACUGGCAGUCUUGAGUACAGUAGAGGUGGGCGGAAUUCGUGGUGUAGCGGUGAAAUGCUUAGAUAUCACGAAGAACUCCGAUUGCGAAGGCAGUUCACUGGACUGCAACUGACACUGAGGCUCGAAAGUGUGGGUAUCAAACAGGAUUAGAUACCCGAGUAGUC